Patella vulgata (common limpet) is the source of this 720-nucleotide long non-coding RNA. RefSeq lists it as uncharacterized. Lineage: Eukaryota; Metazoa; Mollusca; Gastropoda; Patellidae. The transcript has 4 exons. The record is from RefSeq and is a predicted model, not a curated record.
UUGAGUGGAUUUUUAUUUAAGGUACAUGGGUUUUCCAUGUCAUUGGACAAGGCAUUCACAGACACGUCACACAGUGAAAUUUGAUUAUCAGGAUUGGCCUCACAGUGCCACAUUGAAUCUGAGAUAAAACAGCCCCAGCUCCAAAAUUGGAAGCGUCGGAAUCGAUAAUGAACAAGCCCUCUGGCUGGGGAAAUGACAGAAUCGGUGGACUGGGCUAGCUUUUGGCUCUCCUCGAGAUCGAUGGACGACUUAUGGUACAAUUCCACCAGGUGCUCAGGCACUGAUUGGCUUUGAGAGUGACAUACAGAAACAGGCUCCUGACUGAUUUGAUGCACAGAACGUCCACGUUGCCUAUCAGCGAGUCUGUGCGCUUCUAACCGAAUGGCAUGUGUUUCAGCCUCAUUAAUAUCUUUAGGCCGAAGUUCACGUAUUCUCAACCUCAUGUCCGAGUCUUGGAUGGAAUCAACAAAAUGAUCGAGGGCCAAGAUGUUAGUGAGCGAUGAAUCGGCUGUCGGAUAAGCCUGCCGUGUUAAUUUACGAAUGGCCUGGGCUAAUUCAGGCAGAGUUUCAGCCUUUCCUCUACAACGAGUUUGGAGUCGGGCUCGAUACAUUUCUGAACGUUCAAGUGAGCCAAAUCUAAUACUGAGAGUCCUAAUGAGAAUAUUGAAGUCUUUUCUCUCCAGUGGGCUGAGUUCAGUUAAAAUAGCUCUGGCAUUACCA